UGGGGAAUCUUGCACAAUGGGGGCAACCCUGAUGCAGCGACGCCGCGUGAGCGAUGAAGCCCUUCGGGGCGUAAAGCUCUUUCGACCGGAACGAUAAUGACGGUACCGGGAGAAGAAGCUGCGGCUAACUACGUGCCAGCAGCCGCGGUAAUACGUAGGCAGCAAGCGUUGUUCGGAGUUACUGGGCGUAAAGAGUGCGUAGGCGGUUUUCUAAGUUCGGUGUGAAAUCUCCCGUCUUAACUGGGAGGGUGCGCCGAAGACUGGGAAGCUGGAGUGUGGGAAAGGCAGGCGGAAUUCCUGGUGCAGCGGUGAAAUGCGUAGAUAUCAGGAGGAACACCGGCGGUGUAGACGGCUUGCUAGACCAUAACUGACGCUGAGGCACGAAAGCGUGGGUAGCAAACA
RNAcentral lists this ribosomal RNA (402 nucleotides) under uncultured bacterium. Its description in RNAcentral is "bacterial SSU rRNA". It matches the Rfam family "Bacterial small subunit ribosomal RNA", at positions 355 to 774 of the family's 1533-position model. The record is from RNAcentral.